UACGAAGGGGGCUAGCGUUGCUCGGAAUCACUGGGCGUAAAGGGUGCGUAGGCGGCGCUUUAAGUCAGGGGUGAAAUCCUGGAGCUCAACUCCAGAACUGCCUUUGAUACUGAAGAUCUUGAGUUCGGGAGAGGUGAGUGGAACUGCGAGUGUAGAGGUGAAAUUCGUAGAUAUUCGCAAGAACACCAGUGGCGAAGGCGGCUCACUGGCCCGAUACUGACGCUGAGGCACGAAAGCGUGGGGAGCAAACGGG
Molecule: ribosomal RNA, 253 nt
Filed under: uncultured bacterium
Lineage: Bacteria
Description: partial 16S ribosomal RNA
Rfam family: Bacterial small subunit ribosomal RNA
Source: RNAcentral